GCUGGGUGUGGUGGCACACGCCUGUAGUCCUAGCUACUUGGGAGGCUGAGGCAGGAGAAUUGCUUGAACCUGGGAGGCGGAGGUUGUAGUGAGCCAACAUUGUGCCACUGUACUCCCGCCUGGGUGAAAGAGCGAGACUCUGUCUCUA
RNAcentral lists this small RNA (148 nucleotides) under Pongo abelii (Sumatran orangutan). RNAcentral describes it as "Metazoan signal recognition particle RNA (ENSPPYG00000030685.1)". Lineage: Eukaryota; Metazoa; Chordata; Mammalia; Primates; Hominidae. The record is from Rfam by way of RNAcentral.